This 68-nucleotide non-coding RNA is filed under the name Oscillospiraceae bacterium. Lineage: Bacteria; Bacillati; Bacillota; Clostridia; Eubacteriales; Oscillospiraceae. The record is from RNAcentral.
AGCCGAAACCGCCAGGGGCUGGCGGUCUGCGGGGGAUGACCUCCCCACACUGACGAUGGCAGGUCAAA